This 116-nucleotide ribosomal RNA is filed under the name Pteropus alecto (black flying fox). The record is from RNAcentral. Lineage: Eukaryota; Metazoa; Chordata; Mammalia; Chiroptera; Pteropodidae.
GUCUAUGGUCAUGCCACCCUGAACAAGCCCAAUGUCUGAUCUUGGAACCUAAGCAGGGUCGGGCCUGGUUAGCACUUGGAUGAGAGACCACGUAGGAGGACCAGGUGCUGUAGGCA